UCUUAUCUCUCUUUCGUCUCUGUCUUCUCUUCUCUCUUCUAUCUCUCCCAUCUCUCCCUUUUCUCUAUGUUCUCUCUCUUCUUUGAAGUCUUUGUUCUCUGUCUCGAUCUUGCCCGUCCUCCCCUCCCCUGGGGAUCUCAUCUUCGAUCCAAUCGACUGAUUCGACUAUGGAAAUGCUGGUUAUACGGUUGGCAAUUCGAGGGAAUGCUGCUGCGAGGCCCUUGUUCUCCACUUCGCUUCAGCUCAACAGCAGCAGCUGCUCUUACACUUCCUCGACGGUCGCGGUGCAGGCGGAGAGGACCAUAAGGGAAGGUCCCGGAACAAUUGGGCUUGAGACGAGAUUAAGUCCAUCUACGAUUCCCCUGUUAUCGAUCUCCUCUUCCAUGGCGCACCAUUUCCAUUUUUGGAGAUCGCUUGUUUCAAGGUGUUGGAUUAGAUAGUUGCUGAAAUUUAGUCUCGUGGCUUCAUAGAGGAAAGAGAACAGAGAGAGAAGAGAGAGAUGGGAAAGAUAGAAGAGAGAAGAGACAGAGAAGAUAAAGACGAAAGAGAGAGAAGAGAGACUAGAGAGAAGAGAGGGAAAAUUACUUUUUCUAAAUUUUUAUUUUUAAAAAGAUGUAGAUUUAUUUUUAUUUAUUAUUAUUAUUAUUAUUUAUUUUUAAAUUUAAAACAAUUUUUUUAUUUUAAAACUUGAGCCACAUUAGAUAAACACUGACACGUAAUAAGUCACGUCAGUGUUGAACUAAUGGCAUCAAGUAAGAGAUGACGAAACGUACUGUAUCGAAAUGGUUUUGAAACUUAAUGUACCAACAAGUUACCAAAAAAA
Molecule: non-coding RNA, 823 nt
Organism: Punica granatum (pomegranate)
Lineage: Eukaryota; Viridiplantae; Streptophyta; Magnoliopsida; Myrtales; Lythraceae
Source: RefSeq, a predicted model, not a curated record